GGAUCUAUAGUGUAGCGGUUAUCAUCCAGGUUUUCCAUACCUGGGACGGGGGUUCGACUCUCCCUGGAUUCA
Transfer RNA from Leucosporidium creatinivorum, 72 nucleotides. It matches the Rfam family "tRNA". Rfam says of the family: Transfer RNA (tRNA) molecules are approximately 80 nucleotides in length. Their secondary structure includes four short double-helical elements and three loops (D, anti-codon, and T loops). The record is from Rfam. Lineage: Eukaryota; Fungi; Basidiomycota; Microbotryomycetes; Leucosporidiales; Leucosporidiaceae.